This is a long non-coding RNA of Thamnophis sirtalis, 2802 nucleotides long. RefSeq lists it as uncharacterized. The record is from RefSeq and is a predicted model, not a curated record. Lineage: Eukaryota; Metazoa; Chordata; Lepidosauria; Squamata; Natricidae.
CUUGGUUGUUGCAACUUGAACUUAAGAGGAGACGAGCCUCGGACAAAAGGUUCUGGAAGGUGAUUUGUUGCAAACCUGAGUCGUGCAUUUUCCAUCUUCAAAAGGCAGACCUUCAUAGAGUGCACUGCAAUAACCAAAGAUCAUGUACUAAAGUGAUUAGGCCAUCCUUGGGAGUUGCAACUGCGAAGUGAGAUAUAAGUGGCUGAAUGCAUCCAAUGAUACCCGGGCCUUGAUUGAUACAGAUGAAUCCAUGACCCGAACUAUGUAUCUGCUUCUGCAAGAGGAAUAUAGCUCCAGGACAUCACGAUCUAGGAAUGUUUAGCCAGAGCAAUGAUUCAUCUAAAUUAGAAAAAGGGUAAAGAAUAUUUUUAUUUAUUUAUAGUAAUACUCAUUUGAAUUAAGAGUAUUUAAAUUCUUACUUUCAUUGUUUAAGAUGCCAAGAACUUUAUAUUUACUGUAGGUAUAGAACUGUCCCAGGAAACAAUUUUAAAAUAUUUUCCUUUAUUCAUUUUCUAAAGUCAUCCAUUGACCAAGUGAUUGGGUAUAUCUUUCAAAAGAAGUAAAAAAAAAACAACACAGGAUGAAACCAUCAACCGCUUCCCAAUAGCUGGUGAAAGAGUUGUUGCAAUUUCAGCUUAAAUAUUUGAUUGCUUCAUUUUGCCUUAAUCAUAAUUAUCUCAAACUUUCUACAUUUAUUUCUUCAUCCUAGCCUGAUAAAUAUCUAUGCUUCAAAGUAAAAACCUGCAGCAAACUCUUAACGAGUUAAAACUAUAAAUCUAAUCUGGGCACCAGGUACUAUAUUCAGAUAAUUUCUUAUCAACAGUGUACCUGUUCCCUUCCUUUAAGACAGAGGUAAGUAUUAUUUCCUUUACAGAGCCUAUAAAAUUCUCCUUUUCAGUUUCUCACGUUUAUAACAGUUGCUCCUCCUCCAGAAACAUCAAGAACAAGGAAACCUUAGAAAUUAUUCUGAAGCUCCAGAGAAGAAAAGCACUUCCCGACAGGUUCAAGUCUUUAUGUUGUUGUUCCUCUAUUUCUCCACCCCCUUCUGCCUGGAUUACUUCUGUCUUCUGGGAAAGUCCUUGGUACCAUGUAUUUUAAUGUGCAUUUUAACUAUAGUAAUACAAUAUGAUGGUUAAUUCUUUGCCAUCUUUGAAAUAUAUGUUCAGCUAUGAUUCUUCAACCUGUUUAGAAUAUAGUAGUAGGUAUUUUCAACAAGAUCAUGUUUAUAGUAACAACAACAACAUUUUUGCUGCUCCUCCAGGAGUAAUAAAAUAGUAAAAGACACAAGUUACCUCAAGUAUAUACCAAGGAUUUGGAAACAAAGUCAUAUGAGGAUUAAAUAUUGAAAGUAUAUGCAAUUCCUAAAUGAUAAUUUGGUGCUUUUGCAAUUGGAUCAUUAGAUGUAUAUAUAUCCAGCAUGAUUUUUUUUUAAAAAGCUGCCCUGGUGCAAUUAAGUACAAGUGAACCCAACUUCAAGUCAGUGCUCAGAAGCAGAAUAUCCUGGGAAGCCGAAAGAUUUCCUAUUCUAGUUUUUAGAAUUAAAAUCUCCAGUCAGAUUUCUGUCUUUGGAUCUCUUACAGCAUGUAGGUACUUAUUUCACACACACAUGCCAAAUCCAAGCUGGUUCAAAAUGCACUGAUUUUCCUCACUGCUAUUCUUCUUGAAAUUGCUCAUAACCAAUAGGAGAGCUCAAGAAUCAGCAGCUAGCUUAUACCCUAUUCCCACUCCUGUCAUAACUGGGUUUACCUAGCAGCUUUUUUUAAAAAAAAGAUUGUGUUCUCCGAUUGCUCACUUUAGAAGAACUAGUGGAAGGAUAUCCUGGUGCCACAGUGCCUUAACCUCAAUGCCCACAAGAACUGGAGAGAUAGGUUGAGAAUACCCUGUGCCCAAAUCCACUUGCAGGCUGCCAAAUUGAAUUGGUAGAGAUGCCUCCUGUCCUGCUGCUGAUCUGGAAAACCAUUGUGUCUGCUGAUUCUUGGCGAUCAGUGGGCCUAUAGGAGAUCCAAAAAUGUCAAACUGGCACCACAAAGAUGGAACUGAAGCCCCACCUGAUUUAUAUGUGCCGUAUCUAUAACACCCAUAAAAAAGGCGGGGAUUCAAAUUGCAUGGCCAGGUCCCCCCAUCUUUUAUUUCUUUUUCACUCUCCCUGCAGAUGCCUGUCAUAGUGUGGAAACAGAAAAAUUCAAGCCAAUUCAGGAUGAGUCAAAAUAUUAUAUAUCGAGGAGACUAAAAAACAGAAUAGAUACGGGUAAAAUAGGUACCCGAGAUUGCCUGUUUAAAGAUUUGGGAAUUCUAUUGGUCAAAUCUGUCUCCGUUGAUUUGCUCAUUCAGUGCGGAUAAAUCACACAUUGUUUAUUUUGUCUAUUGUAGUUUCACAAUAACUGAAAGUGCUGGUCUUUAUUUUUCACUCAUGUAAUCUGUUAAAUCCUUUCAAUUUAUUUUCUAACACUUCAUUUCUUCUCAUGUUUUCUAAUAUUUGUCCUCGAUAACUUCAUUGUAUUUUGGUUGCUUUAUCAGCAUCUGUUUUUAGUUUUACUAGUGUUUCUUUCUUCUCUUUGUUCUUCAACAUUGUUACAUCAAUCUACUAUUGUUACGCUUUAUUUUUUAAGAUGGGGAAAUAAUUUUUUGGCUUGACUUGCUCUAAAAUGCUAAGUUUCCCAAUUCAAACUGUGAUUGAGUCUGUCCAUGUGUUUGUUGUAAGAUUAAGAUGUUUUUAUCUUAUAUUCUGGUAGCUACCCUGUUUCCCUGAAAAUAAGACCUCCCCGGAUAAUAAGCCCAAUCAGGCUUUUGAGUACAAGUGCU